RNAcentral lists this ribosomal RNA (633 nucleotides) under uncultured marine eukaryote. RNAcentral describes it as "SSU rRNA". It matches the Rfam family "Eukaryotic small subunit ribosomal RNA", at positions 613 to 1243 of the family's 1831-position model. The record is from RNAcentral.
UUGUGGUUAAAAAGCUCGUAGUUGGAUCUCGGCGGUCUGAGGGCGGUUCGCUUGAUUGAGUGCUACUGCUCUAUAGGCCGUGGUUUUGCCAGAGGUCUCGGGGUGCUCUUAACCGAGUGUCCUGCGAUGCUGGCAGGUUUACUUUGAAAAAAUUAGAGUGCUCAAAGCAGGCUUUUACGCCUGAAUAUUCGUGCAUGGAAUAAUAGAAUAGGAAGUCGUUUCUAUUUUGUUGGUUUUCGGAAAUCGACUUAAUGAUUAAUAGGGACAGUCGGGGGCAUUUGUAUUCAAACGACAGAGGUGAAAUUCUUGGACCGUUUGAGGACAAACUACUGCGAAAGCAUUUGCCAAGAAUGUUUUCAUUAAUCAAGAACGAAAGUUAGAGGUUCGAAGGCGAUUAGAUACCGCCCUAGUUCUAACCAUAAACGAUGCCAGCUAGCGAUCUGCCGACGUUUUCUUUGUAGACUCGGCAGGAAGCUUCCGGGAAACCAAAGCAUUUGGGUUCCAGGGGAAGUAUGGUUGCAAAGCUGAAACUUAAAGGAAUUGACGGAAAGGCACCACCAGGAGUGGAGCCUGUGGCUUAAUUUGACUCAACACGGGAAAUCUCACCAGGCCCCGGACACUGGGAAGGAUUGA